AAAAACUGAGGUGGUGUAAGAUGGGCCCGCGUCUGAUUAGGUAGUUGGUGGGGUAGAAGCCUACCAAGCCGACGAUCAGUAGCCGACCUGAGAGGGCGACCGGCCACAUUGGGACUGAGACACGGCCCAAACUCCUACGGGAGGCAGCAGUGGGGAAUAUUGCACAAUGGGGGAAACCCUGAUGCAGCGACGCCGCGUGAGUGAGGAAGUAUUUCGGUAUGUAAAGCUCUAUCAGCAGGGAAGAAAAUGACGGUACCUGACUAAGAAGCCCCGGCUAACUACGUGCCAGCAGCCGCGGUAAUACGUAGGGGGCAAGCGUUAUCCGGAUUUACUGGGUGUAAAGGGAGCGUAGACGGAAUUGCAAGUCUGAUGUGAAAAUCCGGGGCCCAACCCCGGAACUGCAUUGGAAACUGUAUUUCUAGAGUGUCGGAGAGGCAAGUGGAAUUCCUGGUGUAGCGGUGAAAUGCGUAGAUAUCAGGAGGAACACCAGUGGCGAAGGCGGCUUGCUGGACGAUGACUGACGUUGAGGCUCGAAAGCGUGGGGAGCAAACAGGAUUAGAUACCCUGGUAGUCCACGCCGUAAACGAUGACUACUAGGUGUCGGGAGGCAAAGCCUUUCG
RNAcentral lists this ribosomal RNA (620 nucleotides) under uncultured bacterium. RNAcentral describes it as "bacterial SSU rRNA". It matches the Rfam family "Bacterial small subunit ribosomal RNA", at positions 202 to 842 of the family's 1533-position model. The record is from RNAcentral.